Molecule: long non-coding RNA, 299 nt
Filed under: Elaeis guineensis (African oil palm)
Lineage: Eukaryota; Viridiplantae; Streptophyta; Magnoliopsida; Arecales; Arecaceae
Description: long non-coding RNA (EGUI_LNC068818)
Source: RNAcentral
GUCACUACUCCGAGCUUCCACGAAAUCGAUCUUCGACCGAGCUUCUACAAUAAGCGGUCUCCUUUCAGCCUUUUACAAGAAUCGAACUCUGUCCGAACUUCCAUAGCAGAUGGAUUCCGGACGAACUUCUACAAUAGACGGACUCCAGCAGCUGGAUUUCUAUAAUGAUCGACCACCUCCAAUGUCUGCCGUACCUCCCCAGCCAUCAACCUUCAAUAGUAUCAGCCGAACUUCAACAACGCCAAUCGAACUUCCACAGGAUCCUCCAGACUCCUCCAGCGGAUGAACCUCCCCAACGC